UACGUAGGGUGCAAGCGUUGUCCGGAAUUAUUGGGCGUAAAGAGCUCGUAGGCGGUUUGUCGCGUCGAAUGUGAAAACCCGGGGCUCAACCCCGGGACUGCAUUCGAUACGGGCAGACUAGAGUUCGGUAGGGGAGUCUGGAAUUCCUGGUGUAGCGGUGAAAUGCGCAGAUAUCAGGAGGAACACCGGUGGCGAAGGCGGGUCUCUGGGCCGAUACUGACGCUGAGGAGCGAAAGCGUGGGGAGCAAACAGG
Molecule: ribosomal RNA, 253 nt
Filed under: uncultured bacterium
Lineage: Bacteria
Description: partial 16S ribosomal RNA
Rfam family: Bacterial small subunit ribosomal RNA
Source: RNAcentral